UUUUAAUGAUGAAUGAACAUACACCAUCUUUCGACUGAAUAAUAAUAUUGAUGUUAUUUUUUUUACUGAUGUCAAAU
Leptidea sinapis is the source of this 77-nucleotide small nucleolar RNA. Lineage: Eukaryota; Metazoa; Arthropoda; Insecta; Lepidoptera; Pieridae. The record is from RefSeq and is a predicted model, not a curated record.